Molecule: transfer RNA, 73 nt
Filed under: Kofleriaceae bacterium
Lineage: Bacteria; Pseudomonadati; Myxococcota; Haliangiales; Kofleriaceae
Rfam family: tRNA
About the family: Transfer RNA (tRNA) molecules are approximately 80 nucleotides in length. Their secondary structure includes four short double-helical elements and three loops (D, anti-codon, and T loops). Further hydrogen bonds mediate the characteristic L-shaped molecular structure. tRNAs have two regions of fundamental functional importance: the anti-codon, which is responsible for specific mRNA codon recognition, and the 3' end, to which the tRNAs corresponding amino acid is attached (by aminoacyl-tRNA synthetases). tRNAs cope with the degeneracy of the genetic code in two manners: having more than one tRNA (with a specific anti-codon) for a particular amino acid; and 'wobble' base-pairing, i.e. permitting non-standard base-pairing at the 3rd anti-codon position.
Source: Rfam by way of RNAcentral
CGGGGUGUAGCGCAAUUGGUAGCGCGCUCGUUUUGGGUGCGAGAAGUUGCAGGUUCGAGUCCUGUCACCCCGA